RNAcentral lists this ribosomal RNA (253 nucleotides) under uncultured bacterium. Its description in RNAcentral is "partial 16S ribosomal RNA". It matches the Rfam family "Bacterial small subunit ribosomal RNA", at positions 524 to 776 of the family's 1533-position model. The record is from RNAcentral.
UACAGAGGGUGCGAGCGUUAAUCGGAAUUACUGGGCGUAAAGGGCGCGUAGGUGGUUUAUUAAGAUUGAUGUGAAAUCCCUGGGCUUAACCUAGGAACUGCAUCGAUGACUGAUAAGCUUGAGUACUGUAGAGGGUAGUGGAAUUUCCGGUGUAGCGGUGAAAUGCGUAGAGAUCGGAAGGAACACCAGUGGCGAAGGCGGCUACCUGGACAGAUACUGACACUGAGGCGCGAGAGCGUGGGGAGCAAACAGG